RNAcentral lists this long non-coding RNA (1092 nucleotides) under Capra hircus (goat). RNAcentral's name for it is "lncRNA (ENSCHIG00010022592.1)". Lineage: Eukaryota; Metazoa; Chordata; Mammalia; Artiodactyla; Bovidae. The record is from RNAcentral.
AUGUGUGAAGUGCAGCUGGAGCACGCAGCGUUUACUCACGCCCAGAGUCUUGAUCAUGAUGCUGGCAUCAUAAAGAAGGUUGACAUUUGUUUUGCUGUAAGAAAACUCGAGAUACAUAUGGUGAUAUGUCAUUUAUGUAGGGGCCAGUCUGGAACACAGCUUUGGUCUAAAAAGCAUUCACUUCGUGUUCAUCAUACACCAACUUAACGGGUGAUUGAGAAUCUUCUGGCUGGAGAACGUGUUUUCAUUACCAGCAGGUGGUAAGCUUUCUGAGGACAGCGGAAUACCAGAAGCUCCCUCUUGGUAUGGUGCCCUUGCAAGGAACAGGUGUUCAGUCAGUAACUAUUGCUUUGAGAUGAAGUUUCUCUGACUCUGCUCUAUUUGUGGUUUGGAAAUUCAUGUGCUAACAGGGGCUGUAUCUAUAGGAGAUUGAUGCCCGAUUUACUUUGUCACUCUCUUCAGGGCCGUUACAGCAGAAUUAGAGAGUUUCAGCAGCCUAAUUUGUGCUUUGACCUGAAAGUUGUGGUUUGUGAUAUUUGUGACAUUCUUAGGGACCUUAGGGAAGCCCUGUUAACUCAGAUAAGGUAAAUUUCACCAGAUGAAAACCUUGGAUUUGGAUUCAACCUACUAGCCCAGCCAUUAGAAUUCACAGAAAGCAUCCCUGGAAGAGGCAAAGGAAGCGUCUUAGACCACCUGACAUGGUUUUCGUUAUUCAGAUCAUCACAUUAUAACUUCUUCCUUCAGUGUGCAAUACUUUUCAGAUCCUCCCUACCAUGACAUGAUUUUCAGUUUCAUCCUUCCUUUUGGGUUCUAUUUACCUGGUUGAUUAACUGUAUUUGUCUCAUACCCUGAAAGGCAAUUUUUUCUAACAUUUGGAUGCAAUAUUCCCUGUAAGAUUCCCAAGUUUACAAAUGCAUUGUUACUGCUGAAAUCUUGAUAUUUCACUUGGGUAAAACUGAAAGAAUGAUCAUUAUCUAAAUACCGAUAACUUUCCCUGUUUGAAAUCUUUCCAUUGUGUAAGGUUAUACUUGAUACAACUUUUAAGAUGGUUAAAUUGCAUUCUAUUAACCCAUAUGAGUGUAUUCCUGUAAG